Molecule: ribosomal RNA, 253 nt
Filed under: uncultured bacterium
Lineage: Bacteria
Description: partial 16S ribosomal RNA
Rfam family: Bacterial small subunit ribosomal RNA
Source: RNAcentral
UACAGAGACUGCAAGCGUUAUUCGGAUUCACUGGGCGUAAAGGGUGCGCAGGCGGCCGGGUGUGUCAGAUGUGAAAUCCCGAGGCUCAACCUCGGAACUGCGUCUGAAACUACUCGGCUAGAGUACUGGAGAGGGUAACGGAAUUCACGGUGUAGCAGUGAAAUGCGUAGAUAUCGUGAGGAACACCAGAGGCGAAGGCGGUUACCUGGACAGUUACUGACGCUCAGGCACGAAAGCGUGGGGAGCAAACAGG